RNAcentral lists this long non-coding RNA (3450 nucleotides) under Mytilus galloprovincialis (Mediterranean mussel). The record is from RNAcentral. Lineage: Eukaryota; Metazoa; Mollusca; Bivalvia; Mytilida; Mytilidae.
UACUGCACACCAAAAUAAGCAAAGCACAUGUAUAAAUGUAAGAUAUGUGUAACGAAGUAAACAGUCAUUAAUUAGUAAUUAUUUAUAGUUAUUCAUAGCCAUAAAGGUUGUUAAUGAUCAGAAACAGGUUUAAUGUCAGUAAUAAGAAUCAAAAGUGUAAAAGACAAAUUUUUAUUUAUACUAUCUUAUAGUUUGACAAAAAAAGGGGGAAGUUACAGUCAUGUAAUAAUACAUGCUUAAAGCAUGAUCCUAAUAUUACCGGUUAUAAUGGACCCAAGGUUACAAUUAUCUCAAAUUAACAAAAAAUUAUAAAAAUCAUCUAGCAAUGCCCUACCCUUGUUCAUUGGGGUCUCAUUGGGUGGUUCUGAUCCCGGAUCCCGCUUAGGCGCUAACUGUUUUGUCAAAUUCCUGUAACCCGCUUACAUUAUGUACAUAAGCAAUUCUCAUUUUUUUUUCUGAAAUCCUGUGCCUCGCUUGACUUCAUCUCCUGUUUUCAUGGCACAAUAAUUUGACUUUCACCUGUCACGCUUACAAACAAUCGGAAAUCCUGCGUCACGCUUAGACCCAAAUGAGAUUCACUUCAUUGACAUAGUUGUUGAAUAUAAAACACAUUUUAGUUUACAAAUCGAAGGAAAUUUAUCAGUGAUAUAGAGAUUGUCCAACAACGAGCUGCUCGGUAUGUCUGCAAUAAAUACCAUAAUACAAGUAGUGUUAUGAACAUGCUUACUACAUUAUAUUUUCCAUUACUAACAGAAUGUAGGCUACAUACAAGAUAAGUAAUGAUGUACAAAUUAUCAUACCAUCUUGUUGCUAUUCCAUCAGUCAUACUUAUAAAAGCAGACUCAAGAACAAGAAAAAAACAUCCAUACAUAUGGGCAUAUUCAUACAUCAAAAGAUUACUACAGACAUUCAUACUUUCCAUACACAAUACCACAGUGGAACCAGCUCCCUGUGGUACUAGUUCAGGCACCAUCCAUUGAUAGCUUCAAGGAACAGCUCACUUCAGCUGUUCUCUGUUCUAUUAAUUAAAAGCAUUAAUUUAAAUUGUACAUAGUUUUAAUCACAAAUUUGAUAUUUUCAUUGCACUUUAAUUACAUUUUGUUUAAGUUGGGGUAAAGACUUGUAAAUAGUCCAAGUAUGUGAACAGUAUGUAAUCGUCGGAUGUCGAAAAUAAGAAGAAUAAAUAUGGUCUCUUCUUCUUCUUCCUAGUAUGGGAAAGACCCUGUUGUUGAAAUCAUAUGUUUACCUCCGUCAUAUGCAUGCUAUUCAAUGGUAAUUAUGAUGUUACCAUGCAUUCCUAAUUACACGAAAACCCAUGAGAAGAGGAUAUGUUUAUCGGCAGUCUCCAAUUUUCUAGUGAUCCUCCAUUUUGUAACUGCCUAUUAUUAGAUCAUGAAUAGGACUUGAUACUCUUAAAUGUUAGGUAAUCAAAAUGGUAAUGAUGUCACAUAUCAGUGCACAGUGAAAAAGAAGAAAAUUCACAAAUUUGCACUUACAUCUGACUUGAACACCGCUUUCAUAUUCAAAAAAGUUGUUUUAAAAAUAUGGAAAUUCUGCUAGAUUCAACCUUUAGUAUGACAGAUUUAUUCUUUGAAACAAAUAUCUUUUUUAAGAAUGCAUUCAUUUUAACUAACCACUCUUUCUAAAAUUAUUUUUUGUAUAUGGAUAUUAAAUCUACCCAGCAUCAAGAUGCAUUUUCUCCCUUUGAUGAUAAUACAUUUUGUAGUUGGAAUCUUGAUCUAAGCUAAUUUGUGCAAUAUUUGUUUACACAUUUUAUAUCAAUAAUAUAUCAAGUGUUUUAAUCAUCAUGAUCAUUCCUGUAUAAUCCAAAUAUGUGUCUGCGGAAUUGAGUGACCAUUAGCUGGAUUGCCUUUUUAUGCCCCGUUUAUGAUUCCCCAUUUAUGGGCAUUAUGUUUUCUUGUCAGUGCAUUCGUCUGUUUGUCUGACCCGCUUCAUGUUAAUGUUUGUCGAGGUAGUUGAAGUCCAAUCAACUUGAUACUUAGUACACAUGCUUCCUAUGAUGAUCUUUCUAAUAUUAAUGACAUUGAAAAUUAUACUGGGAUGGAUCAUUUGUGUACUAUGGACACAUUCUUGUUUUAUUUAUAUUUUUAUUGAACUAUUCUUUUGUAUUUAUUGUUUUUUUAAAUUCAUUUGCAAUUUUUUUCAGUAAAGUAAAAUGUCAGAAGAAUAUAAAGUAGGGAGCUUGUCUGAUGUCAUCAAGAAAUCAUCAAAAGCAAAGAAGAGGAAAUCAUCAGAAGGAGAAAUAGCCAAGCUAGCUUCAUUGUUUGGUGCACCAGCUAAAAGAUUUGAACCCGAGGCAAGGAUUUAUAAUCCACACUCAGUGGCGGAUCCAGGGGGGGGGUUCCGGGGGUGCGCACCCCCCCUUUAUUUCCGAUCAAUGCAUUUGUAUCGGGACAUAUGUUUUGCACCCCCCCUUUGCCCUGUUUGCCCUGGGUUAGCACCCCCCCUUUCGAAAAUUCCUGCAUCCGCCCCUGACACUCAUUGUACACAGUACAUUUAUUUCAAAUCUGAAAAUUUGAAACUCAACAAAACACAAAUACACAAUUUAUUGAGAACAACUAUGUGGACUAUGACAAAAUUAUGUCUUCCCUUUAGAUAUAUAUCUUUCGACAUCUCCCUGGAAAUGUAACACCUUGAAACACCAUUAAAAUUUCCUUUUGUGCAGAUACCGGUACAUGUGCACACAGUUUAGGAUUACUGUACUUAGUGUACUAUUCAUUUUUUACACCUGUAUAUUUGGGCAAUUCUUCUAAAAUUUUACAUGACAUGCACUAGUAAUACAUAUGGAAAAGUGAGUAACUAAAUUCAUGUAAUAUGUAUGAAAAGAAGUUGUGGUAUGAUUGUCAAUGUGAAAACUCUGAACAAGAGACCAUAUGGCUCAGAAUUUAAAAACUAUAGGUUACAGUAAGACCUGCAACAAUAAAUAAAGCCUCUACCACAUAGUCAGCUAUAAUUAAGCCAGAAAUGACUAAUGUAGCUGCCUAAUUUAUGUAUAUGUACAAAAUAAUGAACCAAUAAAAAUAUAAAACACAGAAACAAAUAGCCAUUACUGAUGUGCAUACAUGUAUACAUUAAAUAUCAUGUUUAAUUCAAAAUCGAGUCCGAGUAUGCUCUCUGAUUAUUCUGAUUGAUCGAUUAUAACUUUCCUAUUAUAGUAUAAUUGCAAUACUGGUUAUCAUUGAUAUUUAUUCUUACUUUGUUUUAUUUAAAUUACAGCCAGUUUCAUAUGUCAGUACAAAGAUCAAAACACAAGAGACUACCACUGUCACUAAAAACAAAGAGAAGAAAAGUCCUAAAAAAAAAAAGACAGGAUUGGACAUAAGUGUACCUACACAGAAUCAAGAAGGGUUUGACCCACCACCAGGGAUAGUUCAUGAAUCAUUGCUGCAGAACACUUCAGAUAGGUAUUCUACUUGAAAACUGUUGUAG